RNAcentral lists this ribosomal RNA (464 nucleotides) under Vreelandella stevensii. RNAcentral describes it as "partial 16S ribosomal RNA". It matches the Rfam family "Bacterial small subunit ribosomal RNA", at positions 338 to 794 of the family's 1533-position model. The record is from RNAcentral. Lineage: Bacteria; Pseudomonadati; Pseudomonadota; Gammaproteobacteria; Oceanospirillales; Halomonadaceae.
CCUACGGGGUGCAGCAGUGGGGAAUAUUGGACAAUGGGCGAAAGCCUGAUCCAGCCAUGCCGCGUGUGUGAAGAAGGCCUUCGGGUUGUAAAGCACUUUCAGUGGGGAAGAAAGCCUUGGGGCUAAUACCCUCGAGGAAGGACAUCACCCACAGAAGAAGCACCGGCUAACUCCGUGCCAGCAGCCGCGGUAAUACGGAGGGUGCGAGCGUUAAUCGGAAUUACUGGGCGUAAAGCGCGCGUAGGCGGUCUGAUAAGCCGGUUGUGAAAGCCCCGGGCUCAACCUGGGAACGGCAUCCGGAACUGUCAGGCUAGAGUGCAGGAGAGGAAGGUAGAAUUCCCGGUGUAGCGGUGAAAUGCGUAGAGAUCGGGAGGAAUACCAGUGGCGAAGGCGGCCUUCUGGACUGACACUGACGCUGAGGUGCGAAAGCGUGGGUAGCAAACAGGAUUAGAUACCCGGGUAGU